This is a long non-coding RNA of Ctenocephalides felis (cat flea), 674 nucleotides long. RefSeq lists it as uncharacterized. The transcript has 3 exons. The record is from RefSeq and is a predicted model, not a curated record. Lineage: Eukaryota; Metazoa; Arthropoda; Insecta; Siphonaptera; Pulicidae.
UUGGAUAUUUAAUUUAUACAUAAUUAGAUGUAUUCUAGCUGACUUAGUUUCUACGAAAAUUGUAUAUUUAAAUGUGUAUUCUUACUGCAGGUGCUUAUAACUUAUAAAAAAAACAAGGAACAUGAGCAAUUUAACUUAAAUAUGAUAUAUUUAUGGAUAAUGUAAUGGCAUACCAUUUCGUUCUAUUUAAAUUCUAAGCAGAAAAACAAGGAUGAUGGAUAGAACAUCACAGUUGCAAUAACUUAUAGAAAAAACAAGGUACAUAAAUAAUUUAUCUCAAAUAUGAUAUACUUAUUGAUGAAUUAUGUGAUAAUUCCAUUUAAUUAUCAUCCCAGAAAUAUCCAGUGAAGAGAAAAACAAGGAUGAAGAAUAGAAAAACACAGCUUUGAUGAUAGUACAUUUUAUUGUGAAUCUUGCAACGGACCACUUCCAUCAUAGACUUUUGGAAUACCUUUUACUGGACUCUCACAGUUUCUUGAAGUAAUAUGUGAGCUUGCAGAGACAACAGACUACAAAAAAAGAUGAAUAAUAUUAAAUAUGUGAGCAUGAAUAUUAUAAUCAUGUACAAAGGGAGUUGGAGCAAAUAAAGAAGCCUUUGUUCUUUAAGAAUAAGUGAGACGACAGUGUAAAUUUUAAGAACUUGUUUUAGUUAUGUAUUUUUUAUAUUGACUUUU